RNAcentral lists this ribosomal RNA (350 nucleotides) under uncultured bacterium. RNAcentral's name for it is "bacterial SSU rRNA". It matches the Rfam family "Bacterial small subunit ribosomal RNA", at positions 355 to 696 of the family's 1533-position model. The record is from RNAcentral.
UGGGGAAUAUUGCGCAAUGGGGGAAACCCUGACGCAGCAACGCCGCGUGGAGGAAGAAGGAUUUCGGUCUGUAAACUCCUUUCGAUUGGGAAAUAGGGCAUUGUGGUUAAUACCCACAGUGUUUGAUGGUACCUAAAGAAGAAGCACCGGCUAACUUCGUGCCAGCAGCCGCGGCAAUACGAAGGGUGCAAGCGUUGUUCGGAAUUACUGGGCGUAAAGGGUCCGCAGGCGGAUUGGCAAGUUAAGUGUGAAAUCCCUAGGCUUAACCUAGGAACUGCACUUAAAACUGCUAAUCUUGAGUCUCAGAGGGGGUAGUAGAAUUCUUGGUGUAGGAGUGACAUCCGUAGAUA